CCAGACUCCUACGGGAGGCAGCAGUGAGGAAUAUUGGUCAAUGGGCGAGAGCCUGAACCAGCCAAGUCGCGUGAAGGAUGACGGCCCUACGGGUUGUAAACUUCUUUUGUCAGGGAGCAAUUGGGUCCACGCGUGGGCUUAGCGAGAGUACCUGAAGAAAAAGCAUCGGCUAACUCCGUGCCAGCAGCCGCGGUAAUACGUAGGGGGCAAGCGUUAUCCGGAUUUACUGGGUGUAAAGGGAGCGUAGACGGUGCAGCAAGUCUGAUGUGAAAGGUCGGGGCCCAACCCCGGGACUGCAUUGGAAACUGUUGAACUGGAGUACAGGAGAGGUAAGCGGAAUUCCUAGUGUAGCGGUGAAAUGCGUAGAUAUUAGGAGGAACACCAGUGGCGAAGGCGGCUUACUGGACUGUAACUGACGUUGAGGCUCGAAAGCGUGGGGAGCAAACAGGAUUAGAUACCCCAGUAC
RNAcentral lists this ribosomal RNA (466 nucleotides) under uncultured bacterium. Its description in RNAcentral is "bacterial SSU rRNA". It matches the Rfam family "Bacterial small subunit ribosomal RNA", at positions 331 to 793 of the family's 1533-position model. The record is from RNAcentral.